UUUUAGCCCUGAUGGUCGUGGAAAUCCUUUUUGAUUUGCCGAGGGUUUUUUAACCCUUGGUAAUUUAAAAAGAUUGUAACAGACAGCAGGAAUAUGG
RNAcentral lists this small RNA (97 nucleotides) under Flavobacterium sp. 102. Its description in RNAcentral is "Flavo-1 RNA". It matches the Rfam family "Flavo-1 RNA". Lineage: Bacteria; Pseudomonadati; Bacteroidota; Flavobacteriia; Flavobacteriales; Flavobacteriaceae. The record is from RNAcentral.